UACAGAGGGUGCGAGCGUUAAUCGGAAUUACUGGGCGUAAAGCGUGCGUACACGGUUAUCUAAGUCGGAUGUGAAAGCCCCGGGCUCAACCUGGGAAUUGCAUUCGAGACUGAAUAGCUAGGGUACGGUAGAGGGAAGUGGAAUUUCCGGUGUAGCGGUGAAAUGCGUAGAUAUCGGAAGGAACAUCAGUGGCGAAAGCGACUUCCUGGACCAGUACCGACGUUCAGGCACGAAAGCGUGGGGAGCAAACAGG
This 253-nucleotide ribosomal RNA is filed under the name uncultured bacterium. RNAcentral describes it as "partial 16S ribosomal RNA". It matches the Rfam family "Bacterial small subunit ribosomal RNA", at positions 524 to 776 of the family's 1533-position model. The record is from RNAcentral.